RNAcentral lists this ribosomal RNA (444 nucleotides) under Leptotrichia sp. oral taxon 417. RNAcentral describes it as "bacterial SSU rRNA". It matches the Rfam family "Bacterial small subunit ribosomal RNA", at positions 28 to 488 of the family's 1533-position model. The record is from RNAcentral. Lineage: Bacteria; Fusobacteriati; Fusobacteriota; Fusobacteriia; Fusobacteriales; Leptotrichiaceae.
GAUGAACGCUGACAGAAUGCUUAACACAUGCAAGUCUUUGGCGAAGCUGUGCUUGCACAGCCUAGCCAAGGCGGACGGGUGAGUAACGCGUAAGGAACUUGCCCUGCAGUCAGGGAUAACAGACGGAAACGACUGAUAAGACCUGGUAAAGUCAGGCGGACUCAUGUCCAGCCUGAUGAAAAGAGAUGCUGCAGGAGAGCCUUGCGUCCUAUUAGCUUGUUGGUGGGGUAACGGCCCACCAAGGCGAUGAUAGGUAGCCGGCCUGAGAGGGUGGACGGCCACAAGGGGACUGAGAUACGGCCCUUACUCCUACGGGAGGCAGCAGUGGGGAAUAUUGGGCAAUGGGGGCAACCCUGAUCCAGCAAUUCUGUGUGCACGAUGAAGGUUUUCGGAUUGUAAAGUGCUUUCAGCAGGGAAGAAAAAAAUGACGGUACCUGCAGAAGA